Sturnus vulgaris (Common starling) is the source of this 196-nucleotide non-coding RNA. The record is from RefSeq and is a predicted model, not a curated record. NCBI's taxonomy places the organism in Eukaryota, Metazoa, Chordata, Aves, Passeriformes, Sturnidae.
GCUAGCACUGAUUCAAGAUUAGCAUACUGGAUAUAUCCUGUCCUAUCCCAGGUGUGUGUCACACCUAACAGAGGAGCCAGACCAGCUGUCCUAACAGGGUAUAAGGCUGUUCUGACCCUCUGUCUGACAGCAGCCUGUCCUGGGAGGCAGUUUUGUGGCUCUGGGUGCUGAAGCAGCAAGAGCUUCCAAGCAGCAG